RNAcentral lists this transfer RNA (89 nucleotides) under Leptospiraceae bacterium. RNAcentral's name for it is "tRNA-Ser". It matches the Rfam family "tRNA". From Rfam's summary of the family: Transfer RNA (tRNA) molecules are approximately 80 nucleotides in length. Their secondary structure includes four short double-helical elements and three loops (D, anti-codon, and T loops). The record is from RNAcentral. Lineage: Bacteria; Pseudomonadati; Spirochaetota; Leptospiria; Leptospirales; Leptospiraceae.
GGACAGGUGGCGGAGCCCGGUUGAACGCGCCGCACUCGAAAUGCGGUAUAGUGGUAACACUAUCGAGGGUUCGAAUCCCUCCCUGUCCG